RNAcentral lists this long non-coding RNA (7927 nucleotides) under Sorghum bicolor (sorghum). Its description in RNAcentral is "long non-coding RNA (SBIC_LNC003186)". The record is from RNAcentral. Lineage: Eukaryota; Viridiplantae; Streptophyta; Magnoliopsida; Poales; Poaceae.
CCAGAAGCCACGGGAACGAACGAGAGCACGAUCGGGCUCGGGGGCAGGGCGGCCGCCCACCCCCCUUGGGCGCCCGCCCAGGGUUGGAACCCAAUCGGGACUCUGCUUCGGGGCAAAACUCCACCGACCUAAAGGAUCAAUCUAAACCACACAAUCAAUGUCGGUUUGAUCUGACGGCCCAAAUUCACUUGAAGGGACUAUAAAACCAAGGCCUACCCCCCUGGAAAAGAGGAGAAGAGAUGAAAUCAUUAUGCAGAGGUAGCCAUCAAAGUUAGGGUUUAGAGCUUCUCUCCCACAGAGAAUUAGAAUUAGCUACUCCCUAAUCCUUUAAGUUUAGAGGUUUGAUUAGAUAGCAAUUAGAGAAGUAGAGCACUACGCUCUGGAUUCGGAUCUUCGGUAAUAAAGAUUGGUAUUAUUCACAUCUUUCUCUAAUUCUUUGUUCUAAUUGCAUUAUGUCUCUAAUUAUUAUGUUCUUAGUUUUCUCUAGUUCUAUAUUUGAUAUAGUUCUAAUUGAUAAUGAGUUUAUGUAUAAGUUUGCAAAGCGCUUAGCUCUUGACGCGAGGGAGUUAGGUGAUAGAUCACAUGUGAGCGUGGUGCUUAGAUGUUAUUUAUCUGCAAAUGUAUCCUAUUGGCCGGGUCGUGUGGUAGUUCGCGAUAGUGACAGCUUCAUUGAUUCUUAUAUAGUCCACCCUCCGUUGAUAGGACAGGCAGAACCGGUAUUGUGGAGUAAGUCAUGCGAUGCUCUGAUUUACUUUAUCAAUGUUCCUUAUACAUGAAUGAAGAGUCUUUUAUGCUAUAUAUGAUCUUGAAGAUAACUAGAGUAGAUUAUGACUUAGUAGUUAGUAGAUAACUUAGAAUCCAUUCUCUAGCUAAUCCGACAUCACCUACAUAUGAGUAGUCUAUUUUCUAAUCGCUGUGUUAUCUACCCAUGAACUUAUAAUUCAUUAUCAUGAUCUUUAUGGUUUACCCCCUACUAAAGUAAGUGACUGUGUGAUGAGUUUCUCAUUAGUAAUCAUGUUCUUGCAAGUUUAUCUCUAGUCUAUGCCUUGAUAGAUUUUGCCCCUCACUUUAAUUAGAUCCCUUGAGCAAAAUUAUAAAUAACGAUACCUAGAAUACUUAUCCUGGUGAAAUGCUACAAUGAGGUGUUUUAUCUGUGCGCUUGCGGAUAGAAUAGAUUAUUUUCUAGAGAGUCUUUACAUUUAUAAAUACCUUUGUACACUCUGGCACCAUGCUGGGGAUGACAACCUAGUAUCUAAGUGGUGUUAGCUAGUGUCAACAAGCAUUUCUGGCGCCGUUGCCGGGGAAUCUCAUGAAUAAGUCAUAAAGGGGAACAAAAGGGUAAUACUUAGGAAAGCCAGAAAAUCAGUCAAGGUUAUUCAUAUAAAAUAUUAGACUAGACUAUAGAGAAAUAAUUGCAUAAAAACAGCUACUAAGUGAGAAAUCAUAACAAGGCACCUCUGCUUUAGCAGGUUCACCCUGUUGUUUUUCUAUGUUUAUAUUUUUAUACAGGGAAUAUCAGGAUUGACUUUGGGUACAUUCAACUCUUCAUCAUCAGAACCAAAGCAAUCAAGAGAAGAAGAAGCUAGCUACCAAUUGCUGAAGCUAUGGCACAGAAGACCCUACAAGAAUUCUCUGCUCCAAGCCUUGAGAACAUUCUAACUGGUCCAAGAUUUGCAGUAGAAGAAGGAAUACCUGAGUUUGAGCUCAAGUCAAGCCUCAUCAAUUUGGUGCAAGCUACACAAUUCAGUGGAAAGGCACAUGAAGAUGCUAGUGCACACUUGCAGAAUUUCUUAGAGAUUGGGAGCACAAUCCACAUCAACGGAGUUGACAAAGACGUCAUACUGCUUCGCCUUUUUCCAUUCUCACUAGAAGGGAAAGCGAGGAAGUGGUUCUACACUCAUCAAGAUAACAUCAACAACUGGACGAACUUGUCAGAUGCCUUUCUAUCAAAGUAUUUCCCUAUAGGCAAAACAACUGCCUUAAGAGGAAAUAUUGUCAGUUUCCAACAGCAGAAGACAGAAGCCAUUUCAGAAGCAUGGGAGCGUUUUCAAAGAUACAUAUCAGAUUGUCCUCACCAUGGAAUGGCCACAUGGUUACUUAUGCAGACCUUUUACCAUGGAUUAUCCCAGAUGGCUCGUGAGUGCCUAGAUGCAUCUGCUAAAGGAUCAUUCUUGGAGCUUACAACUGGAAAAGCAGAGAUACUUUUGGACAAGAUAGCAGAAAACCAAAGCUUGUUCCAAGACAAAGCUCAACAAUGUCAUCAAACUGAAGAAAUACCAGAAGAAGUAAAUGCAUUAUCAACUAAGAUGGAAAAUUUACUCCAUUGGAUUGACCAGAGGGCCAAGUUCAAAGAAGAUCAAAGGGCCAUUGAGACAGCAUACAAAUAUCAACCAACUUCGAGUCAACCCAAUAGCAAAGGUAUGAAUUCAGGUAAUACUUUCAAGCAACUUUCAUUAAAAGAGAUAAUUGCUCAACAAACCAAAAUUAAUGAUGAAGUUAAACAAAGGCUAGAUACAAAUGAAUCAUCUCUAAAAGAUAUACACAAUAAAAUGGAUUUUCUACUAACUGCCUUUGAUGAGCAAAACACUCUUAAGAAAAGGGUAGAGCUUAAAUUAAUAAAGAUAGCUGCUGCACUGCCUAUUGCUACUAACAUUGACCAGGUAAAGAAUAUAACUACUAGAGGAGGAAAAGCCACCAGAGAUCCCCCAUACCCAAAAGAGAAACAAAGAAUGUCAGCACCAGUGCAACCAGCAGUGAUAGCAGAAGAAAGCCCAGUUGAAGCAGAAGAUCUGCUCCAACCACCAAGAACCGGAGAAAUGAGGAAAGAUUUUUACGACACCAACUAUUUGCCAUUUCCUAGAAGAAACAGAGAACUGCAGUCGGAUGAGCAGUUCGGUAAGUUUGUAGAGGUCAUUCAGAAAUUAUAUGUCAACAUACCUCUGCUCGAUGCCAUACAGGUACCUACAUAUGCAAAGUACAUCAGAGAUAUUCUUAACAAGAAGAGACCACUGCCCACCACUAAGGUUAUCAAGCUGACAGAAGAAUGCAGUGCGGCCAUCCUUAACAAACCACCAAAGAAGAAGGAAGAUCCAGGAUGCCCCACUAUUGAUUGCUCGAUCGGAAACCAACACUUCAACAAUGCACUUUGUGAUCUCGGAGCAAGUAUCAGUGUGAUGCCAGCAUCAGUCUACAAGAAGCUUGAGCAUGCAACCCUAGAACCAACAUCAAUGUGCCUACAACUAGCGGAUCAAUUGGUUCGACACCCGUUGGGCAUCACCGAGAACAUUCCAGUCAAGAUUAGAGAUUUCCUGGUGCUAGUAGACUUCGUAGUACUGGACAUGAGUCCUGACUCAAAAGUGUCCAUCAUCCUUGGAAGGCCAUUUCUGAGCACUGCUAAUGCCCACAUUGAUGUCGGGAAAGGAGAAAUCAAGUUCAACAUAAAUGGAAAAGAAGAACACUUCACAUUCAAACCCAGACCAGAGAGAGACUCUACAGUAAAGGAAGUUCAUGAAGAACCACUGGAGACACCAUCUCCAGAGGAAGGUAAUUCAGAAGAUUAAAAGAUUUGGAGGUCCAGCUUGGGGGACCUAAAAAUCCCAAACCCUCAACUGGAGGUAAAUCGGUAUUUAUCUGCAUUAUUAAUUUUAUCAUAUUUAAAUUCUUGCAUAAUUAAUUCUUGCAUUAGUCAUAUAUAUUCAUAGCAUAAUUAUAAUAAUCAAAAAGCCCCAUAUAAAUAAUAUUCGUGGUCUGUAACAACCCAUAUUUAUUAAUUAUUGUGGAGGCACAAAAAUAUUUCCCAUAAUCAUUUUAAAUAAGUUUUAAUUCUCAUAGAUUUUCCUGCAUUAUAUUUAACUAUAUUAAUCUUCUAGAAGCAUGACCCACACUGCUUGGGUCCCACAUGUCAUACACCACACCUCACAUACAUCCCAUCACAUAAUUUCAUCCACCAAUAUGUAUCCACUCACCAGACAUCUUUCCACUGUCCAACCACCACAAACACAAUAUUAUUCUGCGUGAGAUCAAUGCAAGGAAGCAAGUGGAGGAGGCACACCCAGGAUGGACACAAGGAGUGGGCGCCCGCCCACCUACUAAGGGCGCCCGCCCUGUCCCCUGCUCAGCCUAUAAAUGGCCACCUCCAGCUUCCCUUCUCUUCACACACACAUUUCAGAAAACCUUGCAAGCUCGGUUUCCAGAGAAUAGCUCUGAGUGUGAGAAGGUUGGGAGUUCUUUUGAGUGAGAGAGUGAGUAUCACCUAGUAAGUAGUUGUCCAAACAGAAGUAAAAGUUGUUUAGGGGGAGAGGCUCUACCAAAAUAGAAAUUUGUCUUGAACGAUUAACCCUUGGACUACUGACAUUCCGGACAGCUGACCACUAACAUUUUCUCUCACAUUUUCCACUAGUUGUGUUUUUGCCAACUUUUGUUUGCAGGAUGUUUAAGAAGGUGAAGAAUGCAGGGAAGGCUCUCAAGAACAUUGGUACGAGGAGUUCAUCCUGACACUCCUCACACCCAUCAGAGAUGAGCGUCGACCCGACACCCACACAAGCUCCAUCAUCUUCAUCAGGUCAGCAAGUUAAGGUCCUUCUCAAGAUAGGAGACCUAGGACUGAAGACCUGAAGGGAGAAGGAAGUCUAUCAGCAACUGAAGAACAAAGAUUUUAUUCACACCCCUACUCUCGAUCCAAUCUUACUACAAGAAACAGGUAUGGACACUGAAUUUGACUUAAUUUUUCAGAUGAUAGUUGGACAAAUUUUUGGAAUAUAACUGAGCUGGGUUCUCGUCUUCUCACCCUCGAAUUUCUUUGCACUUUACAAUACUAUGAGGGGGGAAUUGUUUUUCGGAUGUUCAAAUAGGAGAUUAUGUUGUCUUGGAGAGAGCUCAGCGACCAUCUUGGUUUCUCUUCAAGAUGCAUCCUGAACAUUGACUCCGAUUUACCCAAUUUUGAGAGACACCAGUUUUGGAGAGAAAUAUCUAGAGAUAAUUUUUAUAGUCAAGCCCGAACCAGUGACAUGGAACACCCCACUCUUAGGAUGUUCCACAAAUGGCUUGGGUAUAAUCUUUUCUAUCGUGAUGAUAUUAGGAAAGUAAGAGUAGGAGAUUUACAACUUUUAUAUGCUGCUAUUAGUAAAAUACCCACUUCACCUAUUACACUAUUAGUUUCUCAUUGGCUUAGUAUACCUAGUCUUCAGGGACCAGUAGGAUGUACUUCACUUAUCACUCGUCUAGCCUUUAAUCUUCACUUACUAGAAAACUCAUCGUUGGACUUCAUAGAUGAGUUAAGAAUUUAUCAUUGCUAUGACACAUUUAGACAAGCUCGGAUGUUAAAGAAAGAGGGGAAUAUAAUGUAUAUGCUAUAUGAUGAUAAAGGCAAGAUUCGGUUACCUAACCCGAACCUUGGCCUCUACGUUGUUCAAAACUUUUUGAUUGAGAUUGCAGCAACACCAGUGAACCAGAGAGCUCCACAGCGAGUGGCGUCUGAAAGGAUGACCACCCAUCGAGAACGCACCUGGUAUGGAGCUGAUCCCGGACCAGAAGAAGCAGCGCACCUGCAUUAUUGUGACUACAACCCUCGAGUCCUUUGAGACCCAUGGGUUCGACAUGCACAACCACAAGAGCCAACAGAGGAGACAUGGCCGGAGAGCCAAGAUCACCAGUGGACAAACCCACCUUUCCAUACGGGCAGGUACUCCACUGAUCCAUAUGGAGCUUCAGGAUCCAGACCUCCGCCCCAAUUUGAUGCAGGACGAUACUCCGACGCCUCCUACGCCUUCACGAAUGACUACUAUCAAGAGGCCGGUGCUUUCUUCACUCGUACCGACAACACCCUCCUCGACAUCCAGAACACGCAAGCAGAACAUGGAAGACUCCUGGAAGAGCAACAAAAUGGAACCAGGACCAUGCCACUACAGUAGAAGAGCUAAGACAAGAUACAACAACAAUGAACGACAACAUCACUACUAUGAUGCGGUUCUGGAAUAUCGGGUAAGACCGACGUCAACAUCCAGCUUGGGGGAGUUCCUCCCCAAUUUAUCAAGUAAGUUUUUAUUUGCUCUUCUUAUUUAUUCUUUCUAUUUUAGUAUUUUAUCUUAAAGGAAAACAUAGAAAACCAAAUAAAUAUUUCCUUGUUUUAAUUUACUGCACUUUAUAAACAUGAAAACAAAAUAAAAAGAGUGUGUAGAUAAGUGUGCUUUAUUUAUCUGCUAAGUUUAAUCUCUAAAAAAACAAAAAGACCAAAAAGAUGCAUGAUGGAAAUAAUGAACAGUUGCUCUGUUUGCUUACUUUUAAGUACCUAGCUUUUAUAUUAGAGUUCUUCCAGGAAUUAUUAAAACUAAAAUUACUAUCUUUGGGAAGCAUAAAACUAAAACGAAAGGCAUGAUAUAAAGUUGAGCUACUGUUUAUCUUGUUUCUACUACACUAAGUUCUGGAGAUUUAUUUUGAAAACUUACAAAUCACAUGAUGAGUUCCUAGCAUAACAAAACUACCUACCACAGCCAUAUUUGCUAUAACAUCUUUUACUAUAUUUACAUUGAGUUUGAUCGAGUUGUGUAGACCCUUAGGAGCUUUUCAUGUGGUUAAAUUUAGAUAUUCACUUGCACACAUCUACCACAACAUUCAUCACCAAUCAUUAAAAUUGCUAAAAAUAUUAUCACUCACUGUCCCAAGUAUUGUUAUACUCUCUAUCUAAAAAGAUUCAAUGCGGAAGAGGCAUGGGUUAUGCAAAAAUAUGCGAGGAAAUAAAAAGGGACAAGUGCCCGGAACCUCGAAAAAGAAAGAAAAAGAGUGAGACGAGAGGUAAAAAUGGACAAGUGUCCAGAGUAGAAUUAGGGGUACAAAGAUGCCCACUUGAGCGGAAAAAAUGGACAAGUGUCUGACAGUAGAAUUAGGGAUAUCUACUACUAUACCCACCUGAAAAAAAAGAGAAAAAGAUAGACCAUGUUCUCCCAAAGCAAAGAUCAAAGAAGAGGAGAGAUAGCAAUAUGAGGAGCAAUAAGAAGUAAGCUUUAUCAUUACCAUCACUAUCAUUUACUCCACCACACAUGCACAUCUUGAUUUAAUUAUAUGCUGAGUUCCUUUGGAUCCAUGGCUCGAUUAGACAACAUAUGUAUGAGCUAUUUUUCACUCCUAUGAGCUCCGCUUAAAUAUUCCAUUAGCUAUAGGUAAGUGACAUUAUGGUAAGGAUCCACAAAUACCACAUAUAGAGAGACUUGAGUGAUUAUUGCUGGGAACUCUGAGUUUUAUUUUGAAAACUUAUGAAAAACUCUGGAACAAAGGUGAAGUAUAGCAGGAGAAAUAGUGCUUGACUUAAUUAUUUUUCUAUCACUUAAAACUUAAGUGCAGGUACUAAGCUCCAUAACACUUCACUCUAAUCUCGAAGAAUUUUUUAUGUAAAAGCAUGUGUGCCUGUCAGAAAAGAAAACAUCGAAGCAACUCCUGAUCCGUCUGAGUUUAGCUAGUUGCUCAGGGACGAGCAAAGGGUAAGCUUGGGAGAGUUUGUUGACGGUCCUCAAGUACUAAAAUUAAUAAUCAAAUAAACAUGGAAAAGGAUCAAUAUGAAACAAACAUCUAGAAUUAGGGUUUUAUCUGACAGAAUUCCACGAGCUUUGGUGUUUAUCUAUUUCUGCAGGGGGUUAUCAGAGAAUAUGGAGAGAAGGCCCACAUGUCAUGUUUACAAUGAGAUAAUUACGUGCCGCGCAAUUUUCCUCAAUCUAGAAGAGUCCAGAAGCCACGGGAACGAACGAGAGCACGAUCGGGCUCGGGGGCAGGGCGGCCGCCCACCCCCCUUGGGCGCCCGCCCAGGGUUGGAACCCAAUCGGGACUCUGCUUCGGGGCAAAACUCCACCGACCUAAAGGAUCAAUCUAAACCACACAAUCAAUGUCGGUUUGAUCUGACGGCCCAAAUUCACUUGAAGGGACUAUAAAACCAAGGCCU